RNAcentral lists this microRNA precursor (76 nucleotides) under Ascaris suum (pig roundworm). Its description in RNAcentral is "microRNA asu-mir-5350b precursor". It matches the Rfam family "mir-5350 microRNA precursor family". Lineage: Eukaryota; Metazoa; Nematoda; Chromadorea; Rhabditida; Ascarididae. The record is from miRBase by way of RNAcentral.
UGCAGGAGGUGGCGUUUCUAAGGUCUGCCAAAUUGUCUGAUCGCAAAUUUGGCACACCUAAGGAGCACUCGUUCCC